RNAcentral lists this ribosomal RNA (644 nucleotides) under Streptomyces sp. 3122_4. RNAcentral's name for it is "bacterial SSU rRNA". It matches the Rfam family "Bacterial small subunit ribosomal RNA", at positions 100 to 758 of the family's 1533-position model. The record is from RNAcentral. Lineage: Bacteria; Bacillati; Actinomycetota; Actinomycetes; Kitasatosporales; Streptomycetaceae.
GAACGGGUGAGUAACACGUGGGCAAUCUGCCCUUCACUCUGGGACAAGCCCUGGAAACGGGGUCUAAUACCGGAUAACACUCCUGCCUGCAUGGGCGGGGGUUGAAAGCUCCGGCGGUGAAGGAUGAGCCCGCGGCCUAUCAGCUUGUUGGUGGGGUAAUGGCCCACCAAGGCGACGACGGGUAGCCGGCCUGAGAGGGCGACCGGCCACACUGGGACUGAGACACGGCCCAGACUCCUACGGGAGGCAGCAGUGGGGAAUAUUGCACAAUGGGCGAAAGCCUGAUGCAGCGACGCCGCGUGAGGGAUGACGGCCUUCGGGUUGUAAACCUCUUUCAGCAGGGAAGAAGCGAAAGUGACGGUACCUGCAGAAGAAGCGCCGGCUAACUACGUGCCAGCAGCCGCGGUAAUACGUAGGGCGCAAGCGUUGUCCGGAAUUAUUGGGCGUAAAGAGCUCGUAGGCGGCUUGUCACGUCGGAUGUGAAAGCCCGAGGCUUAACCUCGGGUCUGCAUUCGAUACGGGCUAGCUAGAGUGUGGUAGGGGAGAUCGGAAUUCCUGGUGUAGCGGUGAAAUGCGCAGAUAUCAGGAGGAACACCGGUGGCGAAGGCGGAUCUCUGGGCCAUUACUGACGCUGAGGAGCGAAA